CCUACGGGAGGCAGUGGGGAAUUUUGGACAAUGGGCGAAAGCCUGAUCCAGCAAUGCCGCGUGUGGGAAGAAGGCCUUCGGGUUGUAAACCACUUUUGUACGGAACGAAACGGUCUGCUUUAAUAAAGUGGGCUAAUGACGGUACCGUAAGAAUAAGCACCGGCUAACUAUGUGCCAGCAGCCGCGGUAAUACGUAGGGUGCGAGCGUUAAUCGGAAUUACUGGGCGUAAAGCGUGCGCAGGCGGUUAUAUAAGACAGUUGUGAAAUCCCCGGGCUCAACCUGGGAAUUGCAUCUGUGACUGUAUAGCUAGAGUACGGUAGAGGGGGAUGGAAUUCCGCGUGUAGCAGUGAAAUGCGUAGAUAUGCGGAGGAACACCGAUGGCGAAGGCAAUCCCCUGGACCUGUACUGACGCUCAUGCACGAAAGCGUGGGGAGCAAACAGGAUUAGAUACCCUGGUAGUCCACGCCCUAAACGAUGUCAACUGGUUGUUGGGUGCAUUAGUACUCAGUAACGAAGCUAACGCGUGAAGUUGACCGCCUGGGGAGUACGGCCGCAAGGUUGAAACUUAAGGAAUUGACGG
This 581-nucleotide ribosomal RNA is filed under the name uncultured bacterium. RNAcentral describes it as "bacterial SSU rRNA". It matches the Rfam family "Bacterial small subunit ribosomal RNA", at positions 338 to 916 of the family's 1533-position model. The record is from RNAcentral.